UGGAAGAUAAGACUAUGCAAUUCUCGGCUUUAAACAAUUUUUUAACGUUAAUUUUUGAGACAGAGAAACACAGUGUGAGCGGGGUGGGGGCAGAGAGAGAGAGAGACAGAAUCUGAAGCAGGUUCCAAGCUCCAAGCUGUCAGCACACAGCCAGACACACAGCUCGAACCCAUGAACAGUGAGAUCAUGACCUGAGCACGUGGGACAUUUAACUGACUGAGCCACCCGGGCGCCCCUACGUUUUUUAAAGUUUAGAAAUUUUUACAGACUCUGAUAUGCUAACAUAAAUUUUGAAUUUUCCAGAAUGAAUUAUAAUAUGUGCUGUUUCCCAAACUUACGUGACCUCUUUUCCUCAAAAAAAAACCCCAAAAAACAAAAAAGCCUUUGGAAUGUUUUCUUGCAUGCUGGGCAUUUGCGAUGCUGUGAUAGCAAAUCACCUUCUUUGCUUUUAUUGACCAAAUAAAUAAGCUCAUACAUGUAGAAAUAUGCAAUGCUUCUAGGGUUACCCGAUUUGGCAAAUAAAAAUACAGGAUAUCACUAAAUUUAAGCGUCAGAUCAACAGUGGCUAAUCAUUCAGUAGAUGCAUAUCCCGUGUGUAAAUUAAAAAAAAAAAAACACUGUGUAUCCAAAAUUCAGAUUUAACUGGGUAUCCUGCAUGUUCUCUGGCACUCCUCAACACCUAAGGAGAAAAAGCUCAAAGAGUUCUGGCAGUGCUGAAAAGUUCCAUUCUGACUUGACUGCUUACAUCCGAGGUGCCAUGUCUUGGGGAUGGCGGACAGGAGGCAUUCUUUCCCCCAAAUCUGUCCAUUCCUGGGUUCAGAUAUUCAAUGUGUAUUUAACUAAGAGCAAAUAUAUUUGAAAGGCUUCUCCAAAUAAUCCUAUCUCAAACAUUACCCGGAUCUAGUCUGUUCAUGGUUUAGAUGGCAGAAUUUAGGUAAGCAGAACCUGGGUGGUGAAGAACAACUUAUAAAGACAGUUUCGCGCAUAUUUGUUUGGUGUACUUGUUGCAAUACUGCUCUAAUUUUCCCAUGAAAUUCUGCAUGUGUGGUGAUGAUGUAUCAAUCAGGGCAGAUCUCAGAAUGUAAUGCUAACGAAAAGCAUGAAGGAGAUAACAUUAUAGCGUGUUCUCUUUCAACAAACUAUUUAGCUCAGCU
This 1154-nucleotide long non-coding RNA is filed under the name Felis catus (domestic cat). RNAcentral's name for it is "lncRNA (ENSFCAG00000049509.1)". Lineage: Eukaryota; Metazoa; Chordata; Mammalia; Carnivora; Felidae. The record is from RNAcentral.